GCCAGGCAUGGUGGUGCAUGCCUGUAAUCCCAGCUACUUGGGAGGCUGAGGCAGGAGAAUUGCUUGAACGCAGGAGGUGAAGGUUGCAGUGAGCCAAGAUCGCACCACUGCACUCCAGCCUGGGUGACAGAGCAAGACUCUGUCUCCA
RNAcentral lists this non-coding RNA (148 nucleotides) under Gorilla gorilla gorilla (western lowland gorilla). Lineage: Eukaryota; Metazoa; Chordata; Mammalia; Primates; Hominidae. The record is from Rfam by way of RNAcentral.